AUUGAACGCUGGCGGCAGGCCUAACACAUGCAAGUCGAGCGGAAACGAGUUAACUGAACCUUCGGGGAACGUUAACGGCGUCGAGCGGCGGACGGGUGAGUAAUGCCUGGGAAAUUGCCCUGAUGUGGGGGAUAACCAUUGGAAACGAUGGCUAAUACCGCAUAAUAGCUUCGGCUCAAAGAGGGGGACCUUCGGGCCUCUCGCGUCAGGAUAUGCCCAGGUGGGAUUAGCUAGUUGGUGAGGUAAGGGCUCACCAAGGCGACGAUCCCUAGCUGGUCUGAGAGGAUGAUCAGCCACACUGGAACUGAGACACGGUCCAGACUCCUACGGGAGGCAGCAGUGGGGAAUAUUGCACAAUGGGCGCAAGCCUGAUGCAGCCAUGCCGCGUGUAUGAAGAAGGCCUUUCGGGUUGUAAAAGUACCUUUCAGCAGUGAGGAAGGUGGUAGUGUUAAUAACUAUCAUUUGACGUUGCUGCAGAAGAA
RNAcentral lists this ribosomal RNA (482 nucleotides) under uncultured bacterium. Its description in RNAcentral is "bacterial SSU rRNA". It matches the Rfam family "Bacterial small subunit ribosomal RNA", at positions 30 to 488 of the family's 1533-position model. The record is from RNAcentral.